Molecule: transfer RNA, 71 nt
Filed under: Candidatus Azambacteria bacterium RIFCSPLOWO2_02_FULL_42_10
Lineage: Bacteria; Candidatus Azamiibacteriota
Also listed under: 7 other names
Description: tRNA-Ala
Rfam family: tRNA
About the family: Transfer RNA (tRNA) molecules are approximately 80 nucleotides in length. Their secondary structure includes four short double-helical elements and three loops (D, anti-codon, and T loops).
Source: RNAcentral
GGGCCCGUAGCUCAGUGGCAAAGCACCCGGUUUGCAUCCGGGAAACGGGGGUUCGAUUCCCCCCGGGUCCA